RNAcentral lists this long non-coding RNA (1219 nucleotides) under Sus scrofa (pig). Its description in RNAcentral is "lncRNA (ENSSSCG00040054953.1)". The record is from RNAcentral. Lineage: Eukaryota; Metazoa; Chordata; Mammalia; Artiodactyla; Suidae.
UCUGAAGGAUAUGAAGCUUUUUUUUAUAUCCCCUACCUCCACCCUGAAACCGAGGGGGAGGAAGGAUGGAUAGGCUUAGUAGUGAGAAGCAGAACAUUCAGAGCUGGGAUGAUGACCUGGGUCAGCUGACCCUUCAACCAGCACACACAGGCAAAACAGAAGCUUCAGCGCUGUUAUGCAGGUGACUUCAUCUAAAAAAGCUAUAGAGCUUCCCUAAACACCUUCCUACAUCCGGCAGCCUUCUGAUGGGGUAGUUAUGGCUUUGGGGAGAAGACAAAAUGACUUUGUGUCCUGGUUCUAGAACAUUCUAUGCAUGUCCUUCAACCUCUCUGAACUUCAGCUUCCCCAGCUGGAAAACAGACAUCAUGACAUCUCAGAUGUUGUCAGGGAUUCCACACAGCACAGACUGCUGAUGGUGUUGCUAUUAUUCUAAUGAGCUUGAAGAAGGAGGAAAACGAUCUCCAAGUAUGAGAAAGCCCAGGACGGGAAGGAGGAAGAAAAAAAAAAGCAAGAAUUGCUGUCUCCCAUCACUCCUUUUUUUUCCCCCCUUGUCCAUGGCUGUCUAAGAAGACUUGCAGUGGCUGGGGAAAGUCCUAAAGAGGAACAGGAGAAAGAACGUAGGAUUUUGAGAAAAACAGCAGGUCCUGUGGUCACACCAGCAUGCUUCUCCAGACCUCAGGAGGCAACUAGCCUUAUUGCAUCAGGCAGGUCCAUGCACUGAGAAGCUGAUCUGCAGUGUUGGAAGUUUGUCAUAGGAGAUCGGAAGUGUCCUCAUCAACCACAAGGUGACCCUGGGCCUCAGAAUAUGGAUCACAUGAAGAAUGCAGGAAACCCAAAGGGACAGCAAUCAGGAAGAGGAUUCCUUCCUUGCCUUCUCCCUUUCAAUGGAAGUGGGAUAAUUCAAUCAGUCCACAGACCUAAGGCCUCAUCAGCCAGCAAGGGAAGGAGGUUCUGAAGCCAAGUCGAUUCAGUGUUCAUUGUUCCCUGUCUCUCUUCCUCUCUUCUCUUCUUCUUUCUAAGCUAAAUCUAAUGGAAGACAAAUGAGUCCACACUGAAAGGGGAAAAAAAAGAAGAAAUCAGGCUUAUUUAAAAAAAAAUUGUUUUGUUUUGUUUUUUUGGAUCAGAAACACAGGACUUCCCAAAUCAAGUUAAGUGAGUCCCAGAUGUGGACUCAUUUCAAAUGAAAAACACACGCCGUCAUCCCAGGCAGAACUCUGCU